AGAAUCUUCGGCAAUGGGCGCAAGCCUGACCGAGCGACGCCGCGUGGAGGACGAAGGCCUUCGGGUUGUAAACUCCUGUCGAGGGGGAAGAAGGUCCGCAAGGGCUUGACUGAUCCCUGGAGGAAGCACGGGCUAAGUUCGUGCCAGCAGCCGCGGUAAGACGAACCGUGCGAACGUUAUUCGGAAUCACUGGGCUUAAAGCGCGUGUAGGUGGGGCGGCACGUCGGCCGCUGAAAUCCCCCGGCUUAACCGGGGAACGGGCGCCGAUACGACCGCCCUUGAGGGGCGUAGGGGGGGCUGGAACUUCCGGUGGAGCGGUGAAAUGCGUUGAGAUCGGAAGGAACGCCCGUGGCGAAAGCGAGCCCCUGGACGUCAUCUGACACUGAGACGCGAAAGCCAGGGGAGCGAACGGGAUUAGAUACCCCAG
Molecule: ribosomal RNA, 427 nt
Filed under: uncultured Candidatus Nostocoida sp.
Lineage: Bacteria; Bacillati; Actinomycetota; Actinomycetes; Micrococcales; Intrasporangiaceae
Description: bacterial SSU rRNA
Rfam family: Bacterial small subunit ribosomal RNA
Source: RNAcentral